AUUGAACGCUGGCGGCAUGCUUUACACAUGCAAGUCGAACGGCAGCACGGGGGCAACCCUGGUGGCGAGUGGCGAACGGGUGAGUAAUACAUCGGAACGUGCCCGGUCGUGGGGGAUAACGUAGCGAAAGUUACGCUAAUACCGCAUACGAUCUGAGGAUGAAAGCGGGGGACCUUCGGGCCUCGCGCGAUCGGAGCGGCCGAUGUCAGAUUAGGUAGUUGGUGGGGUAAAGGCCUACCAAGCCGACGAUCUGUAGCUGGUCUGAGAGGACGACCAGCCACACUGGGACUGAGACACGGCCCAGACUCCUACGGGAGGCAGCAGUGGGGAAUUUUGGACAAUGGGCGCAAGCCUGAUCCAGCCAUUCCGCGUGCAGGACGAAGGCCUUCGGGUUGUAAACUGCUUUUGUAUGGAACGAAAAGGCUCUGGCUAAUACCUGGGGCUCAUGACGGUACCGUAAGAAUAAGCACCGGCUAACUACGUG
RNAcentral lists this ribosomal RNA (484 nucleotides) under uncultured bacterium. RNAcentral's name for it is "partial 16S ribosomal RNA". It matches the Rfam family "Bacterial small subunit ribosomal RNA", at positions 30 to 507 of the family's 1533-position model. The record is from RNAcentral.